Long non-coding RNA from Myotis myotis, 434 nucleotides. RefSeq lists it as uncharacterized. The transcript has 3 exons. NCBI's taxonomy places the organism in Eukaryota, Metazoa, Chordata, Mammalia, Chiroptera, Vespertilionidae. The record is from RefSeq and is a predicted model, not a curated record.
UGCCCUGACCGGGAAUCGAACGGGACCUCCUGGUUCACAGGUCGAUGCUCCACCACUGAGCCGUGCCAGCUGGGCUCUCUCUCUCUCUCUCUGAGCCCACCCACCAUGCUGCGAGGAAGCCCAGGACACAUGGCCAAGCCCCAUGGAGCGUUCUAGCCCAUGCCCAGCUGCUGCUGUAUCAUCCACCUGCACAAUGAAAGAUGGAGAAGACACAGCUGGUUUUAAGAAUCUCCUAAGUCUGAUGGGGAAGACAGAACAGUGAUCAGAAGUUCAAGGACUGGGGGAGACCAGUGGGUGUCACCUACCCCAGUCUGGAGCCAGGGAGGAUUCCUGGAUGAGAUGUGGGCUGAUGUGGCCAGCACCUAGGCCUUCCCGGCAGAGUAGAUGCGUCAUACAGCCUGUCACGCAGUGUUAAUGUUUGCUGACUGUCAUUU